Non-coding RNA from Podarcis lilfordi (Lilford's wall lizard), 74 nucleotides. NCBI's taxonomy places the organism in Eukaryota, Metazoa, Chordata, Lepidosauria, Squamata, Lacertidae. The record is from the annotation of a GenBank genome assembly.
CUGUAGCUCAGUGGUAUGGCUUCUGCCUGCCAUGCAGAAGACCUAGGCUUCAGUCCCUAUAAUCCCCAGAAAGG